Molecule: long non-coding RNA, 226 nt
Filed under: Elaeis guineensis (African oil palm)
Lineage: Eukaryota; Viridiplantae; Streptophyta; Magnoliopsida; Arecales; Arecaceae
Description: long non-coding RNA (EGUI_LNC000116)
Source: RNAcentral
CUUCUUGUUUCUUUUGAAAUCCUCUCCCCUUCUUCUUCUCUGUCUUUUCCUUCUUCCUGGUUCUGGCAUCAUGGCCAGGACUUCUCCUCGGGGAGCUCAGUCGGAGAAUCCGACUGAUGAUCUUCGGUCGACCCCGGAAGUGGAGGUCUCUUCACUUUCGGGGUCGAAUGUCGAUCGACUUCGGGAUCAGUAUUGUAUCCCGGAGCAGUUCCGACUCUUCGCCCCU